Molecule: ribosomal RNA, 528 nt
Filed under: Trichosporon sp. GMG_P9
Lineage: Eukaryota; Fungi; Basidiomycota; Tremellomycetes; Trichosporonales; Trichosporonaceae
Also listed under: 1 other name
Description: eukaryotic LSU rRNA
Rfam family: 5.8S ribosomal RNA (bases 165-318)
Source: RNAcentral
AAGUCGUAACAAGGUUUCCGUAGGUGAACCUGCGGAAGGAUCAUUAGUGAUUGCCAUCUUGGCUUAAACUAUAUCCAUCUACACCUGUGAACCGUUUGAUUGAAUCUUCUGAUUCAAUUUUACAAACAUUGUGUAAUGAACGUCAUUAGAUCAUAACAAAAAAAAACUUUUAACAACGGAUCUCUUGGCUCUCGCAUCGAUGAAGAACGCAGCGAAAUGCGAUAAGUAAUGUGAAUUGCAGAAUUCAGUGAAUCAUCGAAUCUUUGAACGCAACUUGCGCUCUCUGGUAUUCCGGAGAGCAUGCCUGUUUGAGUGUCAUGAAAUCUCAACCAUUAGGGUUUCUUAAUGGCUUGGAUUUGGAGGUUGCCAUUCUAAAUGGCUCCUCUUAAAGGAGUUAGCAAGUUUUACUAUUGCUAUCUGGCGUAAUAAGUUUCGCUGGAAUGGUAUUGUGAAGCGUGCUUCUAAUCGUCUUCGGACAAUUACUUUGACUCUGGCCUCAAAUCAGGUAGGACUACCCGCUGAACUUAA